Molecule: ribosomal RNA, 136 nt
Filed under: uncultured eukaryote
Lineage: Eukaryota
Description: partial 18S ribosomal RNA
Rfam family: Eukaryotic small subunit ribosomal RNA
Source: RNAcentral
UGGUGGAGUGAUCUGUCUGGUUAAUUCCGAUAACGAACGAGACCUCAACCUGCUAAAUAGGCACGUGAACUUCUGUUUACGCAGUCUUCUUAGAGGGACUUCCGGGGCUACUCGGAGGAAGUGUGAGGCAAUAACA